CUAGCGAUAGGAUGCUAAUCUCAAAAAGCCGAUCGUAGUCCGGAUUGGAGUCUGCAACUCGACUCCAUGAAGUCGGAAUCGCUAGUAAUCGCGGAUCAGAAUGCCGCGGUGAAUACGUUCCCGGGCCUUGUACACACCGCCCGUCACACCAUGGGAGUUUGUUGCACCAGAAGUAGGUAGUCUAACCGUAAGGAGGACGCUUACCACGGUGUGGCCGAUGACUGGGGUGAAGUCGUAACAAGGUAGCCGUAGGGGAACCUGCGGCUGGAUCACCUCCUUAA
This 281-nucleotide ribosomal RNA is filed under the name Acinetobacter haemolyticus. RNAcentral describes it as "partial 16S ribosomal RNA". It matches the Rfam family "Bacterial small subunit ribosomal RNA", at positions 1254 to 1533 of the family's 1533-position model. The record is from RNAcentral. Lineage: Bacteria; Pseudomonadati; Pseudomonadota; Gammaproteobacteria; Moraxellales; Moraxellaceae.